Molecule: ribosomal RNA, 593 nt
Filed under: Salmonella enterica
Lineage: Bacteria; Pseudomonadati; Pseudomonadota; Gammaproteobacteria; Enterobacterales; Enterobacteriaceae
Also listed under: 3 other names
Description: partial 23S ribosomal RNA
Rfam family: Bacterial large subunit ribosomal RNA
Source: RNAcentral
GGUUAAGCGACUAAGCGUACACGGUGGAUGCCCUGGCAGUCAGAGGCGAUGAAGGGCGUGCUAAUCUGCGAUAAGCGCCGGUAAGGUGAUAUGAACCGUUAUAACCGGCGAUACCCGAAUGGGGAAACCCAGUGUGAUUCGUCACACUAUCAUUAACUGAAUCCAUAGGUUAAUGAGGCGAACCGGGGGAACUGAAACAUCUAAGUACCCCGAGGAAAAGAAAUCAACCGAGAUUCCCCCAGUAGCGGCGAGCGAACGGGGAGGAGCCCAGAGCCUGAAUCAGCAUGUGUGUUAGUGGAAGCGUCUGGAAAGGCGCGCGAUACAGGGUGACAGCCCCGUACACAAAAGCGCAUGUGUUGUGAGCUCGAUGAGUAGGGCGGGACACGUGGUAUCCUGUCUGAAUAUGGGGGGACCAUCCUCCAAGGCUAAAUACUCCUGACUGACCGAUAGUGAACCAGUACCGUGAGGGAAAGGCGAAAAGAACCCCGGCGAGGGGAGUGAAAAAGAACCUGAAACCGUGUACGUACAAGCAGUGGGAGCACAGGUUUACCUGUGUGACUGCGUACCUUUUGUAUAAUGGGUCAGCGACUUAU